RNAcentral lists this ribosomal RNA (468 nucleotides) under uncultured bacterium. RNAcentral's name for it is "partial 16S ribosomal RNA". It matches the Rfam family "Bacterial small subunit ribosomal RNA", at positions 28 to 507 of the family's 1533-position model. The record is from RNAcentral.
GACGAACGCUGACGGCGUGCUUAACACAUGCAAGUCGAACGGAAAGGCCCUGCUUUUGUGGGGUGCUCGAGUGGCGAACGGGUGAGUAACACGUGAGUAACCUGCCCUUGACUUUGGGAUAACUUCAGGAAACUGGGGCUAAUACCGGAUAGGAGCUCCUGCUGCAUGGUGGGGGUUGGAAAGUUUCGGCGGUUGGGGAUGGACUCGCGGCUUAUCAGCUUGUUGGUGGGGUAGUGGCUUACCAAGGCUUUGACGGGUAGCCGGCCUGAGAGGGUGACCGGCCACAUUGGGACUGAGAUACGGCCCAGACUCCUACGGGAGGCAGCAGUGGGGAAUAUUGCACAAUGGGCGGAAGCCUGAUGCAGCAACGCCGCGUGCGGGAUGACGGCCUUCGGGUUGUAACCCGCUUUCGCCUGUGACGAAGCGUGAGUGACGGUAAUGGGUAAAGAAGCACCGGCUAACUACGUG